AUGAGGAGCAACAUCAGAAAAUACACACAAGAGAAAGAACAGAGGUGGGGGCCAGGAACGGGCGCGCCUCCACACCAGACGCUGUGGCCACUCAGUGUCCACGACCCCACGCGCAGGGAGUACUCCGUGUUCCGGCCCCGCACCAUAGAGCAGGCGGUGGAGGAAAUCCGUGCGGUGCUCCAGCCGGUGGAGGACGGAGAGAUUCAGGGAGUGUGGCUGCUGACCGAAGUGGACCACUGGAACAACGAGAAGGAAAGGCCAGUGCUGAUCAUCGACCAGUCACUGCUCAUCUGUAAACACGACCUCAUCGUCCUUUAGUGUCAGCAGGUGGUCAGGGUGGCGCUCGGGGGCGGUGGACACCAUCUCCUACGGGGAAUCCCAGUUUCCUUUCAAGUCACUCAACCAGCCAGAAGGCUUUGGGGUUCACAUUCAGUGGGAUAAGCAGAGCCCCCUUUCUUUCAUCAGCAGGUGGAACCCCUGGUUCCCAGCGUGACCUACGCCACUUUCAUAGGGCACGCGAUGGCAGGGGUGGACAUGAGGGCGGCGUUUCUGUGCUAACUGGAAAGCUUCAAGGCUUUGUUAAUCCAAGCUGUCAAAAGAAAAAAGGCCCAGAAAGUCUUUUGCCAGGACAAGGUAACAGCGUGCAGGUCCUGGAGCGCCCACUCUUCAUUGAGACCUCCUUGGGGCUGAUGUUCUUCAUCAACAACGAGGCCAAACUGGGUUACUCCAGGACCAGGGGGAAAAAUAGGCUUCUGAGCGUCAGCAUGGUGGGCGCACCCCAGGCUGGUGGGGUGCAGGGGUGGGGCUGCAGGGGUGUAGGGAUCUGA
This is an RNA transcript of Dipodomys ordii (Ord's kangaroo rat), 827 nucleotides long. It is a transcript of the gene named tumor protein p63-regulated gene 1-like protein, with no coding region annotated. The record is from RefSeq and is a predicted model, not a curated record. The transcript has 2 exons. NCBI's taxonomy places the organism in Eukaryota, Metazoa, Chordata, Mammalia, Rodentia, Heteromyidae.